CGAUUGAGUUUGAUCCUGGCUCAGGAUGAACGCUGGCGGCAUGCCUAAUACAUGCAAGUCGAACGAGAGACCUUCGGGUCUCUAGUGGCGAACGGGUGAGUAACACGUAGGGAACCUGCCCGCGCACCGGGAAUACGCUCUGGAAACGGAGAACAAAUCCCGAUGUACAGGAAGGAGGCAUCUUCUUUCUGUGAAACAUCCUUUAGGGGAUGGGGCGCGGAUGGACCUGCGGUGCAUUAGUUGGUUGGCGGGGUAAAGGCCCACCAAGACGAUGAUGCAUAGCCGGCCUGAGAGGGCGGACGGCCACAUUGGGACUGAGACACGGCCCAGACUCCUGCGGGAGGCAGCAGUAGGGAAUUUUCGUCAAUGGGCGCAAGCCUAAACGAGCGAUGCCGCGUGAGUGAAGAAGGCCUUCGGGUCGUAAAGCUCUGUUGCGGGGGAAAAAAGGCAGCAUCAGGAAAUGGGUGCUGACUGAUGGUGCCCCGCCAGAAAGUCACGGCUAACUACGUGCCAGCAGCCGCGGUAAUACGUAGGGGGCGAGCGUUAUCCGGAUUUACUGGGUGUAAAGGGAGCGUAGACGGCGGCGCAAGUCUGAAGUGA
RNAcentral lists this ribosomal RNA (600 nucleotides) under uncultured bacterium. Its description in RNAcentral is "bacterial SSU rRNA". It matches the Rfam family "Bacterial small subunit ribosomal RNA", at positions 1 to 597 of the family's 1533-position model. The record is from RNAcentral.